This 253-nucleotide ribosomal RNA is filed under the name uncultured bacterium. Its description in RNAcentral is "partial 16S ribosomal RNA". It matches the Rfam family "Bacterial small subunit ribosomal RNA", at positions 524 to 776 of the family's 1533-position model. The record is from RNAcentral.
UACGGAGGGGACUAGCGUUGUUCGGAAUUACUGGGCGUAAAGCGCACGUAGGCGGAUUUGUAAGUCAGGGGUGAAAUCCCGGGGCUCAACCCCGGAACUGCCUUUGAUACUGCGAAUCUCGAGUCCGGAAGAGGUGAGUGGAAUUCCUAGUGUAGAGGUGAAAUUCGUAGAUAUUGGGAAGAACACCAGUGGCGAAGGCGGCUCACUGGUCCGGUACUGACGCUGAGGUGCGAAAGCGUGGGGAGCAAACAGG